CCAUAUUGGCCAGACUGAUCUCGAACUCCUGACCUCAGGUGAUAGACCCGCCUUAGCCUCCCAAAGUGCUAGAAUUACAGGUGUGAACCACCUCACUGGGCUAGGAAUUUGGUUUUAUGGUCUGAACACAUGGUGAUCUCUGUAAUGAGAUAAAUGUUUACAGGACUUAGUCUCUAUUGGGUGAGAGACCACAGAGUCUGAUUUGUUAUUCUAUUUGUCUGUUUUCUUUGAGCUGAAAUCAAUUAAGAAUUUCAUGCCCACUGGGAGGAGAAGAGCUCUUUGAUAUCUGGAAGGGACUGAAAAGUACCAGGAGAACAGUGACCGCGAGGGGCCCUGGCAAAGGAAGAAACCAGCCAGACGUGCCUGCUUCCCCUUUGCCUUCUGCCAUGAUUGUC
This is a long non-coding RNA of Piliocolobus tephrosceles (Ugandan red Colobus), 395 nucleotides long. RefSeq lists it as uncharacterized. The record is from RefSeq and is a predicted model, not a curated record. The transcript is spliced from 3 exons. Lineage: Eukaryota; Metazoa; Chordata; Mammalia; Primates; Cercopithecidae.